CAGUAGCCGCGGUAAUACGAAGGGUGCAAGCGUUACUCGGAAUUACUGGGCGUAAAGCGUGCGUAGGUGGUGGUUUAAGUCCGUUGUGAAAGCCCUGGGCUCAACCUGGGAAUUGCAGUGGAUACUGGGUCACUAGAGUGUGGUAGAGGAUAGUGGAAUUUCCGGUGUAGCAGUGAAAUGCGUAGAGAUCGGAAGGAACAUCUGUGGCGAAGGCAGCCCCCUGGGCCAACACUGACGCUCAUGCACGAAAGCGUGGGGAGCAAACAGGAUUAGAUACCCCCGUAGUCCCUGUCUCUUAUAC
Molecule: ribosomal RNA, 301 nt
Filed under: uncultured bacterium
Lineage: Bacteria
Description: partial 16S ribosomal RNA
Rfam family: Bacterial small subunit ribosomal RNA
Source: RNAcentral